CCCUUCGGGGUUAGUGGCGGACGGGUGAGUAACACGUGGGAACGUGCCUUUAGGUUCGGAAUAGCUCCUGGAAACGGGUGGUAAUGCCGAAUGUGCCCUUCGGGGGAAAGAUUUAUCGCCUUUAGAGCGGCCCGCGUCUGAUUAGCUUGUUGGUGAGGUAAUGGCUCACCAAGGCUACGACCAGUAGCUGGUCUGAGAGGAUGGCCAGCCACAUUGGGACUGAGACACGGCCCAAACUCCUACGGGAGGCAGCAGUGGGGAAUCUUGCGCAAUGGGCGAAAGCCUGACGCAGCCAUGCCGCGUGAAUGAUGAAGGUCUUAGGAUUGUAAAAUUCUUUCACCGGGGACGAUAAUGACGGUACCCGGAGAAGAAGCCCCGGCUAACUUCGUGCCAGCAGCCGCGGUAAUA
This 408-nucleotide ribosomal RNA is filed under the name uncultured bacterium. Its description in RNAcentral is "bacterial SSU rRNA". It matches the Rfam family "Bacterial small subunit ribosomal RNA", at positions 76 to 525 of the family's 1533-position model. The record is from RNAcentral.